Corticium candelabrum is the source of this 1479-nucleotide long non-coding RNA. RefSeq lists it as uncharacterized. The transcript is spliced from 4 exons. The record is from RefSeq and is a predicted model, not a curated record. NCBI's taxonomy places the organism in Eukaryota, Metazoa, Porifera, Homoscleromorpha, Homosclerophorida, Plakinidae.
GGGCUGCUCUCGGACAUGCACCAGGGCCCGUGCACAGAUAGAGGGAACUGCAUUUCCCACCAGGUACCACUGCUUGCCACAUGGCGAUCCGCCGGUACCUUUUUCUCACAUGCAAUCAAAAUACACAUUUUGACAUCGUGUGCCGUCGCCAAAGCCCAGGAAAUCAGACGUGUCACUCAGUCUCUAGACUGUGUCAGUUGGCGUAAACAAAAAGCAAUCAAACCAACAGCAGUAAGCGUUUGAAGUGUUAGUAUACGUUUGUACUUUAGUUUGUUGUACUGUACUAGUCUAGUAGCUAGAGCACGUGAGUUUGCUCGCGUGCAUGCAUGCGUCCGUGAGCGUCCCUGUGUUCGUGCCUUCCUCUAGGUAACCGAUUACAUAUUAGACACAUUUUGUUAGGAUGUCUGUCUCGGCCAGUCAGAUUUGCUCGAAAAUCUGUACUACGCUGUCAAAUCAGUCUUGGUCGAGACACGUUUCCUAUGAUAUCUGUCACGCCGUCUCUACGUCCGUGCGAUUGCCGAUCCUCCUAACGACGUUGAUGAUCUCGGUCUCUCGGAAACCGAGAAGAGCGGUAUUCGUAAGAAAUCCAAACGAUUCCAGCUAGAUGAAGGGAUUCUCUACUUCCAAGACAAGAAACAAUCAACACGCAGACUAUUACUUAAACGUGUUAGUCCUUGACUCGUAAAUGUGUCACUGAGUGUGGUAAUGGAUCAGCAGGUGCAGCUGUUGGCUCAUAUGGUAGUGCACAGUUUUCUGAACCGGGAGGUUUAUGUGUGUCACACAACUGCUGCAAGCUCUAUGUGGCUGACACCGACAAUCAUGUACUAGGAUUGUAGACCUAGAAUCAAAACUUGUUUCUCAGUUGGUUGUCAGAGAGGCUGCUGUUGUAGAGUCUGAAGUUAAGCAAGUCAAUGAGAAACGUGUGGCUUCUAGAGGAACUGCUGUCACUCAACUGCCUUCAUUGUGUAUGAGAGAUGGGAUUACAAGGAACAUUCGGUUGCACGUUGAGCUUUCUGCAGGCUGUCAUUUUACUGAGGGAGCUACGAGUCGUUGGAAAAUUGUUAUUCCAGGAGGAUGCCCCAUUAAAGUGUUGGGUGACAAAUCUGGUUCAAUAAGUUCCAUCCAAGAUGUUUGUAUUUCUCUGUCUUGCACUUCAGCAGUCCAUAACUGAAACAUCAUUUGAGGUUGAUGCUGUGGUAUAUUUCUGUGAGGAGUCAGGCGUGUGUCGUGUACAGGGUGCAAAAUUUCAGUUUCAAGUCGAUGUUUUGGAAAGCAGUGAGAUAUCAGGUUUGCAUAAUGAUUAUAUGAUGACUAUUGAAUGUAAAGUGUAAGAAUGAGCUUUUCACUAGAGAAAGCUAAUUGGUAUAGGUAAUGAACUUAAUUAGCUGUCUUUUGUUUUUAGAAUUGCCUAGAAAUUUAUUCAUUAAAUGAACAUGAAAUAUUCGAUUGUAUGCCUGUGUUAAUUCCUUUUGCCAAAUA